AUGGUGCCAUUUACUCACCCCCGCAGUUGCUGGCACAACCCACUUCGCUUUUCAAACCAUUGGAGGAGAAGGCGAGGGGAGAAGGCGACGGCGGAGGCGGAAGAAUCGACGGUGUUCGCUGCCGUCAGUGGUGCUCGCCGAAACGGAGCGGCUUCACCGGAGCGCCUGCGGAUUGAAGUCGCCACAUUGUAUGAAUGUCAGUACAAUGAGGCAAAUUCAUUUAGAAUGGCUCGUGGCGAUCAUCAAAAUGAUGACGAUGAUUUCAUGGAUCCACCACAACAUAAUCGGGCAUCUGGACGGAGAAAAGAGGGUGAUGAGAAGAAGAAACGUAUUCGCAACAGAGCCUCCCAAGAACGACUGACUAUGUUGACCGACAGAUUUACCGAUGAUCAGAAGGGAGCUGCUACUAAGAUGGGUAUGCAGGCUCUGAUGAACAUCCGGUGCAUGAAUCUUGUCAACCCUGUAUGCGACUGGCUUGGUGAGAUUUACGACCCCGCCUCCAGGGAGUUUGUGAUUCCGGGACGUGGAAGACUACCGUUGAACGAGGAAUCCGUUUUCUGCACUUUGGGUGUGCCUCGUGGACAGAUGAAAGUCCCGUACGAGGUCAAUAACGAUAUCGAGCAAGAGCUGUUCCCCCAUUUGUUUCCUGGGUUGGAAUCCAUGCCGAACACGUCUGUACUGGCAGAUUCGCUGCAGGCAAUGACGACCCACGGAGAUGUUUUUAAGAUGAAGCUACUCAUGUAUCUCAUCUCAGCUGUUUUCAUGCCGACCACAUCUCUUCAGCCAAGCAACAAAUGCUUCCCCAUCCUGGCAAAACUGAAAGAUGUGAAGAACAUGAACUGGUGAGGCCCGCCGCCUACGCACAAGUUUGCUGUUUGUGCGUGGACUAUCAACGAUGUCAAGGCUAUGCUUGCCGCAGACAGGGUAACUGAUGCCAAAUAUGGAAAACUGCAGCUGAUGGCCAAGCAUGCUAUAGACUACAGCGUGUUUGGGGGGCCUCAAAACUUUGGAAAGUGGAUGGACGUGCACUCAGCUCCGUCUUUCCCUACUGAGGCGAGGGCACCUGUUGAGCAUCUAAUUGGGCAGUUUGCAUCCGGAAUGACCGGCUUGCUCGGGAAGUUGGUUGAGGGGUGGACGUCUCUUAGUGGCUCUGACAGCGACGCGGUUGCGAGGCAGUUCACUUCGUUUGUCCCAGAACAGACACAUCGGCCAAGUGGUUGUCGUGGCUGGUACGACUACAACAGUUCCCAAGAGUUUGCUGACACACAAGAUGAACUAGGUGGAGACGCUGGUAUCAGCAAGGAUGACGACGAUGACACGGAGAACGCGGAAGAGGAAACCGAUGAUGAUGAACAUGCUGAAGUUCGUGCAGGUGCUAACAAGGGGAAGGAUGCACCAUAUGUCCCUCCACCGGCGAAAGUCAAAGAACAUACGGCUGCGAGAGGCGAGGGGGUGAUGCCAUCAAAGAGGGGGAGGGCUCCAGAGGAUGUUGGGCAGGAUUCUCCUGGCAAGAGGGAGGCGACAGCUGGUGGACGAGCAGUUACAAAGAAACAGGCACCAACGCCAACCCGUGCUUCUGCUCGGUUGCACAAAGGUGCCCCCAUUGCUGGUGACACCCAUUCCACCAGGUCAUCUCCUCGUACGACGACAUCCAACACCGGGGAUCCUGUCGUGUUGCCAGACCUGAGAAAGCCAGCCAAGAAGGUGAAGAAGACUACUGCACGCGCGGUCAAGCAUACCAUUAGGGACCCACUCGAAUGUCUUCAUUCAAAGUUAUCAACAGGUGGCAACUCAGAUGUUCAUGAGGCGCCAGGCGACAAAACUGUUGCUGCACUGCCAACUGUUCCCACUAACUCUGACGCAAGUGGCCGACCAUCUCCGCCUGCUGCAGAUGUGCUGGCUAGAACAACGGGCCUCCGUACAUCAGGGAGUGAUGACUCGGUAUCUGCCAGGACCGCAGAAAUAUUGCCCACUCUGCUGGCAAUGAAGGAUGCUGCUGUGAGGCAUGCCACCCCAUCAGGAAGUGUUGAAGUGGAUGCCCCCAAGACCAACCCAAGCAAGGAAGAUUCCCGCUCAUCUGACACUGAUUCCAAGCACGUGUGUGGUGGCACUCAUGUGCCCACUAUAGAAGUUGCCGAGGCGGCAAUUCAUAAUGAUAUGCCAUCUGCAGGUGAGAGUCUUGGCACAACAGCUCCAGCUCCUGAUGGUGCAGAUAUUGCUCAGGCCACUGUUCCACGUGCUGGUCUUCCACCUAGGCGUCGUAGCCCUCGCAAGCAAUCAACAGUCGUAUCCAACGCACCAGCUGCAGCUAGGAGCAAUAGAGAUGAGUCUGGUUACGUCCCUGCGUCCACACUGUUCCCGCCAACCGCCAAAAGCAAUGUUAUGGAGAAACCAGAAGACCAGAGUACAACUGGUGCAGGUGCCAAGACGGGCACGAGGGAUGAAGGUGAACGUCCGGAGCAGACUACGCCUUUACCCGUAGUGGAAAUCCUCAGCUUAAAUCUGCGCACUUCCAAACUCCCAAUCAACAUCGGUGUCCCCUACAGCCCCAACAAGAGGAUUGUCAACAAAUCUACGCCCGUCACCACUGACAGCAUGCCGCGCCCUAUUGGCAGGCCUGAUGAUUCUACAGUGGCUGAUUCAGAUAUGUUUGUUGAUUUUUCACCAUUGGAUUCUGUCCCGCAAGUUGUUCGCGGUCCGGCCAGCAGGCAUGAGAGGCACCCAAUAGCCUUCACCCCACCGAGCUUCAGCCUUGGCGUUAGUCAAGAUCAACCAGUGGCUCAAGAUCCUAUGCCAGUUGCCUUUGCUUUUCCUGGAGGCGUGCCCGCAAUGAUGGCGCAGCCAAUGGUUGAGGGCAGGAAGGCUGUCAAGUUCGCAGAGCCGAUCGUCCAAGCCACCCCUGAGGAGAUUUCACCGUCACUUGAUGAAGCUUACUGCAGGAUCGAGGAGGCAGCAUUGCAGAGGAGCUCAUGUUUGGAUAGAACCAAGGUCAUUCAAUGCGGAGCGACGUACGUCGACCUGGGCGAUCUUGCCGAGUCCGUGAGGCCAAAUGGUAAAAUGUCGACGAAUGUAGCUGCAUGCGGGAUUGACUACAUCAACAAUCAUAUAGAUAUGUGUGCCGACAAAACUAUCAUGCAUUAUAGUGUGACCUGCAAAAUAUGGGAUGGUGACUUCAACCACAAAAUCCUGAGGAAGAAUUUCGCCCAACACGGUGAAUUCAAGCUCACACUGAAGAAAUAUGUCAUGUUCCCCAUGUUCCAGGAGCUUGCACCACACGACCCACACGACAAGUGUGGUCACCACUAUGCAAUCUGUCUUGACCUGAAGAACCAACGCUUUGAGGUUCUUGAUUCAAUGCGUUCGGCAGCUGUCCUCACUUCGCAUGCUGAAUUCUUCAUCAAUAACGUCAAAGAGACAUGGAACCGUCACUACGAACACUCAAAGGUCCAAAUCAGACAUUUCCCGAUUGAGUACAUGGAGACCACAAAUCAAGGGAACACACUUGUCCCCGCUGUCACAGCUACAAUGGUCGUUGAGCUCCGGAAAAUCUACACAUGGAACUGGUUGACGAAUGAAGAUUUCAACAAGCGGUACACAGCACGCGAGUUCGUGGAGGAUGAUGUCAAGAAAGUCAUCAAGAAGUACAAGUGA
RNAcentral lists this ribosomal RNA (3651 nucleotides) under Triticum aestivum (bread wheat). RNAcentral describes it as "partial small subunit ribosomal RNA". Lineage: Eukaryota; Viridiplantae; Streptophyta; Magnoliopsida; Poales; Poaceae. The record is from RNAcentral.